CAAUAGCGUAUAUUAAAGUUGUUGCAGUUAAAAAGCUCGUAGUUGGAUUUCUGGUGGGAGCGAUCGGUCUGGCGCUUAGCGCGAGUACUUGCAUCGUCUCCGGCCAUCCUUGGGGAGAGUCUGUCUGGCAUUAGGUUGUCGGGCAGAGGAUCCUCAUCGUUUACUGUGAAAAAAUUAGAGUGUUCAAAGCAGGCUUAUGCCGUUGAAUAUAUUAGCAAGGAAUAAUAAGAUAGGACUUUGGUACUAUUUUGUUGGUUUGCGCACCAAAGUAAUGAUUAAUAGGGACAGUUGGGGGUAUUCGUAUUCCGUUGUCAGAGGUGAAAUUCUUGGAUUUACGGAAGACGAACUACUGCGAAAGCAUUUACCAAGGAUGUUUUCAUUAA
RNAcentral lists this ribosomal RNA (383 nucleotides) under uncultured eukaryote. RNAcentral describes it as "partial 18S ribosomal RNA". It matches the Rfam family "Eukaryotic small subunit ribosomal RNA", at positions 592 to 976 of the family's 1831-position model. The record is from RNAcentral.